UUGACGGGGCCGCACAAGCGGUGGAGCAUGUGGUUUAAUUCGAAGCAACGCGAAGAACCUUACCAGGUCUUGACAUCCCCUGACAACCCGAGAGAUCGGGCGUUCCCCCUUCGGGGGGACAGGGUGACAGGUGGUGCAUGGUUGUCGUCAGCUCGUGUCGUGAGAUGUUGGGUUAAGUCCCGCAACGAGCGCAACCCUCGACCUUAGUUGCCAGCAUUCAGUUGGGCACUCUAAGGUGACUGCCGGCUAAAAGUCGGAGGAAGGUGGGGAUGACGUCAAAUCAUCAUGCCCCUUAUGACCUGGGCUACACACGUGCUACAAUGGGCGGUACAAAGGGUCGCGAACCCGCGAGGGGGAGCCAAUCCCAAAAAGCCGCUCUCAGUUCGGAUUGCAGGCUGCAACUCGCCUGCAUGAAGCCGGAAUCGCUAGUAAUCGCAGAUCGGCAACGCUGCGGUGAAUACGUUCCCGGGCCUU
RNAcentral lists this ribosomal RNA (474 nucleotides) under uncultured Anoxybacillus sp. RNAcentral's name for it is "bacterial SSU rRNA". It matches the Rfam family "Bacterial small subunit ribosomal RNA", at positions 910 to 1382 of the family's 1533-position model. The record is from RNAcentral. Lineage: Bacteria; Bacillati; Bacillota; Bacilli; Caryophanales; Anoxybacillaceae.